RNAcentral lists this ribosomal RNA (279 nucleotides) under uncultured bacterium. Its description in RNAcentral is "partial 16S ribosomal RNA". It matches the Rfam family "Bacterial small subunit ribosomal RNA", at positions 506 to 784 of the family's 1533-position model. The record is from RNAcentral.
UGCCAGCCGCCGCGGUAAUACGGAGGUUUCGCGCGUUGUUCGGAAUUACUGGGCCUAAAGGGAGCGCAGGCGGCCAAGUCAGUCUGGAGUGAAAGCCCGGGGCUCAACCCCGGAAUAGCUUCGGAUACUGCUUGACUUGAGUAUGCGAGAGGUGAGCGGAAUUCCAGGUGUAGCGGUGAAAUGCGUAGAUAUCUGGAGGAACACCCGUGGCGAAAGCGGCUCACUGGCGCAACACUGACGCGGAGGCUAGAAAGCGUGGGGAGCGAACGGGAUUAGAUA